CGCUGAGUUUGAUCCUGGCUCAGAUUGAACGCUGGCGGCAUGCUUUACACAUGCAAGUCGAACGGUAACAGGUCUUCGGAUGCUGACGAGUGGCGAACGGGUGAGUAAUGCAUCGGAACGUGCCCAGUCGUGGGGGAUAACGCAGCGAAAGCUGUGCUAAUACCGCAUACGAUCUAUGGAUGAAAGCGGGGGAUCGCAAGACCUCGCGCGAUUGGAGCGGCCGAUAUCAGAUUACGGUAGUUGGUGAGGUUAAAGGCUCACCAAGCCAACGAUCUGUAGC
Molecule: ribosomal RNA, 280 nt
Filed under: uncultured Comamonadaceae bacterium
Lineage: Bacteria; Pseudomonadati; Pseudomonadota; Betaproteobacteria; Burkholderiales; Comamonadaceae
Description: partial 16S ribosomal RNA
Rfam family: Bacterial small subunit ribosomal RNA
Source: RNAcentral